Molecule: long non-coding RNA, 2818 nt
Organism: Triticum urartu
Lineage: Eukaryota; Viridiplantae; Streptophyta; Magnoliopsida; Poales; Poaceae
Source: RefSeq, a predicted model, not a curated record
UCAUGACUUAUCUUUUCUUCUCCAAUCCUUCCCACCCAAUCUCUCUUUGUUGUCUUCUCUUCUACUUCUUGCCUUCCCCCACGCCGCCUCCCCGUACCGCGCUGCCUCCAGCCUUCCCCCACGCGCCUCCCCGUACCACCUCCGCUGCCCGUGGCAACGCACUGACGUCUCCGCUGCGGUUUCCAUCCCGGAGUUCGUCCAACCCCGGCAUUCUCCCAUGUCUAGGACUCCACCCCUAUUCGAUGGCGUGAUGGGCUGCCUUGUGGUGCGUCGGCUCUCGCCCGUGAAGGUGCGGGCCGCCGGGACAAGGAGGUGGCCAUGGAAAACUCCACGGUGCGAAUGUCCUCCUUGUGUUGGAGUGCACGUCCGGCGAGGUCGGCGGUGAGGACUAUGGUCGCUGCUAGAUCAAUGUUGGUCGGCCGUCUUGCCUACGUGUCUGUGACGCCUUAUUCAUGGCGAUGACGACGACGUAGGCUGCGAGAGCCAUCUUAGGGGCGUCUGCAAGUGCGCCACUCAGGGAAGCUGUGUUCUUCUUCACCGAUAACCACAACCACGGAUGACGUAGCACGGAAAGAACUGUGAGGCCCCUUGCUAUUUUUCUCGUUGCUUGAUCUGAUUGCAUAAUCCCAGGAAAUAAUUUCUUGGUCUGAUUGUGUGCAGAUUUAGUUUUUAUUAUGAGUGUCAUCUCUGCUAUCAUGUCUCUUCUGUAACAAUCAACCGGCAUGCCAAUCCUUUCAAAUUACUAGUGAAUGCGCACGUGCAAUGCACAUUAAUAUUUAGACAAUAUAUUAAUUGCACGUGGAUAUUAGGUAUGCUAUUAUUUGUGUGAUAAUUCUGUGAUUAGUGCAAUAUUUGGUAUGAUAUUAAUUGCACGUUAAACAUGUUGAACGCUCGCCAUUGGAGCAGUGUUGGUCGUUGGAUUGACCUGGUUUGAUGGUCGAGAUCAGUUGGAUCUGCCCCUUUGGGUCUUUUUAUAUUGGUAUAGAUAUAGAUUAUGGAGUACAAAAUCUAGAUUCAUGAAAUACGCUCCAGCUAUGCUGCAAGACUAGAUUAUGCGGUACGAAAUCUAUACUCAUGAAAUACGCUGCAUGCUACAAGAAUAGAUAAUUUCAGGAGCUAUGAUGUAGUGAGCAAAGAUAUAAUAGAAAUAUGGACAUAAAACAAAGAUAUAAUAGAAAGAUGGACAUACCCUACGUGCCUGAUGUGUUAUCCUUUGGUAACUCUAAUGUAAUGAAACUUCACAGGCAUGGAAUUUAAGGCAUAAGGUAUGCGUAGUUGCAUACUAUAAGGAGUCGCAAAGAUUUAUUUCUGUACCUCGUUUGAUAUCGUUCCUUGAUUCAUUAUUCAAAAUCUAGAUGAAUUUAUCAAAUCAAUAUGUUUGAUUUGGAGUGAAGAGUGAAGAAUAUUAAUUCGUAGUAUUAUUAAAAUGCUUUGUUUAAGGUACAUGGACUGUUUUAAUCUAUGAUUUUUGGGCAUGAAUUUUUACCUAUCAUUUAGGUCUAUAGGUAUGUAAUCUUUGAUUCUUGUAAAUAAUAUAACAUCACUUUUACAUAUUAAACGUUCACAUCCGUCACAUCUUCUCUAGAUGUUACAUUGUCGCAUUCUGCACAAAUAUGUGCAAAUUCUGUUAUUGGCAAUGCUACAAGUAUUUGGAGAACAGUGCAAGAUAUCAAAUUCUUGGGGAAGCUUGCAGUAUUGGUUAAAGCAUUCUCAUUCACGACUACCCAAUCAUCAUAUCUGAACAUCAUGACUUAGGGGCAUAUGAGGUAUUCCUCUAUUCUUAGUUAGUUACAUAAGGGCAAGUGGUGAUAGUGGGAUUCAGGAGGAGUGGAGACAAUCAAUUGUUUUGAUUCCUAAAGAAAAACUUCAAGAGUUGCAGCAUCCUGUUUCUUUUGACGACCAAGAAGGAUCAGAAGAAGACUUGAACAACUGUCCAUCUGAAGCAGACCGUAACAAUGAUACUGAGAUCAGCGUGGUUGAGGAUGGUGAUUAUACUAAGUUUGAGAAACGGAUCCAAGAGAUGUUCCAAGAGGCACUUGAUGGGGUUCGUCAAGAUAAUUUUAUACAAAUCAAUGCACUCAGGUAUAAAUUUCUGCAUAUUUUGAGUUGAGGCAAAAAGGAAGUUAUAGGAUAUGUUUGUAGCUUUCCAAUAGUACCAUAUUUGAGUUUGGUCAGUGACGCAAGAGUUGCACCCAAAAUAAAUUUAUGUCUGACAAUUAUUUCAUAGUGAUUGUUAUCUGUUUUGAAGAUUUAAGCCACGAGUAUGUCAUAAUUAAAUUAUGUCUACAACCUGAAAUUUGUAGUUGUAGAUAACCAUAUUGGUAUCUUUUGUUGUGUUUGGUCAAGCAAAAUUAAAGAGAUGGAGGCAUCAUCGAGGAAACAACAAGUAAACGGAUUAAGGUAGAAAAAUUCUUUAUAGUAUUAGUUGUUGAACGAUAAAUUUAUUGAUGACUAUGAUUACUAUAGUGAUUCCAACAUUGUGCUCGCCUUGCUAAACACUAUGAAGCAAAGGAAAGCCACAAGAACAAAUGUUCCCCUCAACCUGAAGAUGUGAAGUAGACUGCUGCUCCCGGUAUAUGUGUUGUUUCCGCUGGAUGAUGCUCUGUUGCCUGAUCACUCCUACCUGUCAUGUUCUUCCCUUAUCUUGAUACUCGGUGAAGUAGUUCAUGCUGCUAGCUUUGCAUGCUACGGAGUCUCCAUCUCAUCUUUGAUAAAUUCAGUUUUGGUCUAUACACGUAUUUGUACCCAGGUCCAAGAUCUGGCUGAUGAUAUUGUUUUGACUAAUAAUGAUCUGAUUAUUCAUACCUUUUUUUGGACA